ACGUAGGGUGCAAGCGUUAAUCGGAAUUACUGGGCGUAAAGCGUGCGCAGGCGGUUGUGCAAGACAGAUGUGAAAUCCCCGGGCUCAACCUGGGAAUGGCAUUUGUGACUGCACGGCUAGAGUCUGUCAGAGGGGGGUGGAAUUCCACGUGUAGCAGUGAAAUGCGUAGAGAUGUGGAAGAACACCGAUGGCGAAGGCAGCCCCCUGGGAUGAGACUGACGCUCAUGUACGAAAGCGUGGGGAGCAAACAGGAUUAGAUACCCUGGUAGUCCACGCCCUAAACGAUGUCUACUAGUUGUCGGGGGGUAACUCCUUCGGUAACGCAGCUAACGCGUGAAGUAGACCGCCUGGGGAGUACGGUCGCAAGAUUA
Molecule: ribosomal RNA, 371 nt
Filed under: uncultured bacterium
Lineage: Bacteria
Description: bacterial SSU rRNA
Rfam family: Bacterial small subunit ribosomal RNA
Source: RNAcentral